AUACUGGGCAGGGGAGAUACCAUGGUCAUGAAGGUGGUUUUCCGGUGCCGAGGCUUAUCCAUUAUUGUACUCUGGAUUGGCUGAUCCCUGUAUUUCCCCCAAAUGUGGGGAACUGGGCUAUAAUAGGUGGUAGAGGGGGACGUUGUGCUCUCCCCUU
Rattus norvegicus (Norway rat) is the source of this 157-nucleotide small nuclear RNA. Ensembl annotates it as U1 spliceosomal RNA. The record is from Ensembl. Lineage: Eukaryota; Metazoa; Chordata; Mammalia; Rodentia; Muridae.